Molecule: ribosomal RNA, 253 nt
Filed under: uncultured bacterium
Lineage: Bacteria
Description: partial 16S ribosomal RNA
Rfam family: Bacterial small subunit ribosomal RNA
Source: RNAcentral
UACGGGGGGAGCAAGCGUUGUUCGGAUUUACUGGGCGUAAAGGGCGCGUAGGCGGCGCAACAAGUCACUUGUGAAAUCUCCGGGCUUAACUCGGAAAGGUCAAGUGAUACUGUUGUGCUAGAGUGCGGAAGGGGCAACUGGAAUUCUCGGUGUAGCGGUGAAAUGCGUAGAUAUCAAGCGGAACACCAGUGGCGAAGGCGAGUCCCUGGACAACUCCUGACACUGAGGCACGAAAGCUAGGGGAGCAAACAGG